Phrynosoma platyrhinos (Desert horned lizard) is the source of this 72-nucleotide non-coding RNA. Lineage: Eukaryota; Metazoa; Chordata; Lepidosauria; Squamata; Phrynosomatidae. The record is from the annotation of a GenBank genome assembly.
GCCAGUGUGGCGUAGUGGCUUGAGUGUUGGACUAUGACUCUGGAGACCAAAGUUUGAAUCUGUGCUUAGCCA